Molecule: long non-coding RNA, 1023 nt
Filed under: Canis lupus familiaris (dog)
Lineage: Eukaryota; Metazoa; Chordata; Mammalia; Carnivora; Canidae
Description: lncRNA (ENSCAFG00000058928.1)
Source: RNAcentral
CCCCGGGGUCAGAAAGAUUUAUUACUUCCUCGGCGAGCGAGAAGCCGCAGACCGGCCGGGGCGCGCGAGCCGGGAGCGGGAAGCCUGCAAGCGGCGCUCGGCGUCCUGGGAGCGCGCUCCGGGCCCGGGGGCGUCCUGGGCCCGCGAGGGGCGGGCGGUGCCGACGCCGAGGGGGAGCCGACGGGGCGGCCGCUGGGGGCGCGGGGGGCGGGGCUGCGGGCUUCUGCCCAAACUUUAACGCCGGCUCUUUCCGACCGCAGAAACGUGCGGCUGAGCCCGGCGGCCGCAAGGAGUCUCCCAAGUUUCUCCGAGCCCCGCGCCCGCGCCCGCGCCCAGGAGCUACGGCCCGGGUCGUGGGGGCGGCGGCCCGAGCGGCGUCCGGGGACUCGAGCCCCGACCUCCAGCCCGCGCGGCGGCGGCGGCGGCGCGGCGGCGGCGGCGGCGGGAGCCCGGCUCGGCGAGGGGGCGGGGGCGGGCGCGGGACGGGCGGCGGAGGAGGGCGGCGCGGCGAGGGGGAGGAGCCGCGGCGACGGACGGCGGCGCGCACCAACCCGGCGCAGGCUGGCAGGAGCGCGCAGAGGCUGGCCCGGGCGCGCUGCAGCCGCUCGGCGUAGGGGGAGUCGGGUAGCAGCAUCCUCCCGGGCGCCGCUUUCGCGCGGCGGCGGCGGCGGCGGCGGGCGGCGGCUUCCUCUGCCUCCUCUGCCCCGAGACCUCGUUGGCCCGGAGCGGCUGGUGCCGGGGGGCGGGCCGGCAAGGGGGCGCUGCGGACUCGGGCUCCCCGGCCGACUGCUGUGCGCGGCGAGCCCUCCCGGGCCAGUCGGAGGCUGCGGAGCGGCGGGCGCCGCCGGCAAUGCCGGCCCGGGCAUCCUCCGAGUGAUGGGAGAAGCCGCCGCCGCCGCCGCCGCCGCUGCGGGGUCGCGCUGCGCCCCAUCCGCCGCCGCCGGAGGGAUGGGAAGAUUCCGGGCGCGGAGGCCGAGAGCCGGGAAGGCGGAGCCGCUCUGCCGGGAGCUGGGUCCCGCCUGA